Triticum aestivum (bread wheat) is the source of this 196-nucleotide non-coding RNA. NCBI's taxonomy places the organism in Eukaryota, Viridiplantae, Streptophyta, Magnoliopsida, Poales, Poaceae. The record is from Rfam.
GAUUUAGUGGUGGAGCUCCUAUCAUUCCAAAGAAGGGUCUACCGGAUGGGUUUGUGCAGCUGCUUGUUCAUGGUUCCCACUAUCCUACCUCCGCUAGAAGACGAAGAUAUAGGCUUGUGGUUUGCAUGACCGAGGAGCCGCAUCAAUUCCUCGCUGACCGCUGUUUGGUUUGAAGGGAGCUCUGCAUCUUGACCGC